AACGGCCGUACCAUGCUGAAUAUACCGGUUCUCGUUAGAUCACCGAAGUCAAGCAUCAUUGGGCGCGGUCAGUACUUGGGUGGGUGACUACCUGGGAACACUGCGUGCCGUU
RNAcentral lists this ribosomal RNA (112 nucleotides) under Caerostris darwini. The record is from RNAcentral. Lineage: Eukaryota; Metazoa; Arthropoda; Arachnida; Araneae; Araneidae.